CAUGAAAGAUUGCGUAAGUAUCACCUGAAUGCUGUAACUCUUGUGCUGCUCUCAUAAAUAACCAUUUCAUGAAUUACGCACAGCAGCUAGUGAAAACUGGCGUUAGCAAAAAGUAAGCGGACGAAAUUCGUUGGCACAUGCUAAUGGGAGAGGUUAGGUUGUCGAGCUCAGCAUCAUAUUCACAAAUAAAAGUCGUUGGAGUGCUGUAUGGAUAAUAUAUCAGACAUUUCAUUGGUUAAGAUCGUUCUUGCACGGUACUGAGAGAGGCAGAGCGUGCAAUUGUCAGCAGACUGUGCGAUAACCAUGGGAACCACUCGUGCUAAGAAAGGCAAGCAUUCGUACCAGUAAGAUGUUUCACGUCUCAACGUUCCUUCCACCGUGCCGUCUUGUCUUCAACGCUGUGGGACGUCAGUUUAUGGUUUACCGGGUAGUGCCUUAACAUGUCUUUUGUUUUCAGAACAUAUGCUCCUCCAUGCGACACGACAUGUUUUACAAGGCCUCCUGGCCUGGUCUUCCGCGUAACGGCGGUGUUGCGGAUGGGAAGCGGCGCCCUCGGGUUAGGACAGCAGACGCUCACCUCCCGCUCGACUAGGGAAUGUCGAGAUCUCCGGCGGAGGCCGUCUAGUGUACUCUGUAACACUGCCUCGCGCAUCAUGCACGCUUGGGUAACAGUGCGCGCUUGAUCGACGAUUCGGAACACAUGUUUCUAGACGCGUAUUCAAGGGCAUAGUGUUCGGUUAUCUGUUGCCCUUUGGCUGUGGAGCAAGGACCGCGAGGGCUUCUUUGUUGGAAGUCGGUUUGGAGAGUCGCCACAGACCGACCCAUCCCUCGCCACAACAGUGGCCGCCUGAUGCAGCUCGACCCCGUGAGUAAGCAUCUCAUCAUCUGCUCGAGUAAACACUCAGCACACUUCUGGUAUAAUAAACGCGGCGGGUCAGUU
This is a long non-coding RNA of Pollicipes pollicipes, 940 nucleotides long. RefSeq lists it as uncharacterized. Lineage: Eukaryota; Metazoa; Arthropoda; Thecostraca; Pollicipedomorpha; Pollicipedidae. The transcript is spliced from 2 exons. The record is from RefSeq and is a predicted model, not a curated record.